This 382-nucleotide ribosomal RNA is filed under the name Indri indri. RNAcentral's name for it is "partial 12S ribosomal RNA". It matches the Rfam family "Bacterial small subunit ribosomal RNA", at positions 782 to 1380 of the family's 1533-position model. The record is from RNAcentral. Lineage: Eukaryota; Metazoa; Chordata; Mammalia; Primates; Indriidae.
AAACCCAAGUAGUUCAUAAACAAUACUACUCGCCAGAGUACUACGAGCAAUAGCUUAAAACUCAAAGGACUUGGCGGUGCUUCACACCCCUCUAGAGGAGCCUGUUCUAUAAUCGAUAAACCCCGAUAAACCUCACCACUUCUUGCUAAUACAACCUAUAUACCGCCAUCCCCAGCAAACCCUAAUUAAGGCCUUAAAGUAAGCGCAAGUACAUUACAUAAAAACGUUAGGUCAAGGUGUAGUCUAUGAAGUGGAAAGAAUUGGGCUACAUUUUCUACAACAGAAAAGCACACUUAACAACAACCUUUAUGAAAUUAAAGGUUAAAGGAGGAUUUAGUAGUAAACUAAGAAUAGAGAGCUUAAUUGAAAAGGGCCCUGAAGC